UACGGAGGCCUCGAGCGUUGUUCGGAAUCACUGGGCUUAAAGCGCGUGUAGGCGGCACGGUAAGUACUGAGUGAAAGCCCCGGCUUCAAUCCGGGAACUGCUUGGUAUACUGUCGUUCUUGAGGCAGGUAGGGGUCACUGGAACCUUAGGUGGAGCGGUGAAAUGCGUAGAUAUCGGAAGGAACAUCAGUGGCGAAAGCGACUUCCUGGACCAGUACCGACGUUCAGGCACGAAAGCGUGGGGAGCAAACAGG
This 253-nucleotide ribosomal RNA is filed under the name uncultured bacterium. RNAcentral describes it as "partial 16S ribosomal RNA". It matches the Rfam family "Bacterial small subunit ribosomal RNA", at positions 524 to 776 of the family's 1533-position model. The record is from RNAcentral.